Molecule: non-coding RNA, 511 nt
Organism: Lontra canadensis (Northern American river otter)
Lineage: Eukaryota; Metazoa; Chordata; Mammalia; Carnivora; Mustelidae
Source: the annotation of a RefSeq genome assembly
GGGAGUGAAGGUUAGGCUCUGGGGGAAAAGGGGUGUGGGUGUAUCUUUCUCGGAGCCUUGGUACACUGUAAUGGACAACAUCACUGACCGAGUAUUUCCCAUUUCCUAUUUCUAUGCCCUGUUUCCCCAGUGCUCAGAGUUGGAAGCCUCUACCCUGCCUUUCCCUACCAUGGGCUUCUUGCUCCUCUGCUGUGUGGCCUUUUGUCUCUUGAGAACAGGCUCCAUGGAUGCUGGCAUUACCCAGACCCCAAGGCAUGGGAUUAUAAAGACAGGAAAGAGCAUUUUACUGAAGUGUUCUCAGACUAAGGGUCAUAACUAUAUGUACUGUUAUCGACAAGACCCAGGACUGGGGCUACGGCUGAUCUACUACGCCUACGUCAGUGAUAUUAAUGAAGGAGAGGUCUCCAGUGGGUACAAGGCCUCUCGAGAGGGGCUGGCAAAAUUCUCCCUGUCCCUAGGGGCUGCCGUCCCCAACCAAAUAGCUCUCUACUUCUGUGCCAGCAGUGAUUAA